GCCGGAGUGGCGGAAUAGGCAGACGCGCGCGACUCAAAAUCGCGUGGGCUUAGCUCAUGUGGGUUCGAUUCCCACCUCCGGCA
This 83-nucleotide transfer RNA is filed under the name Anaerolineales bacterium. RNAcentral describes it as "tRNA-Leu". It matches the Rfam family "tRNA". Rfam says of the family: Transfer RNA (tRNA) molecules are approximately 80 nucleotides in length. Their secondary structure includes four short double-helical elements and three loops (D, anti-codon, and T loops). Further hydrogen bonds mediate the characteristic L-shaped molecular structure. tRNAs have two regions of fundamental functional importance: the anti-codon, which is responsible for specific mRNA codon recognition, and the 3' end, to which the tRNAs corresponding amino acid is attached (by aminoacyl-tRNA synthetases). tRNAs cope with the degeneracy of the genetic code in two manners: having more than one tRNA (with a specific anti-codon) for a particular amino acid; and 'wobble' base-pairing, i.e. permitting non-standard base-pairing at the 3rd anti-codon position. The record is from RNAcentral. Lineage: Bacteria; Bacillati; Chloroflexota; Anaerolineae; Anaerolineales.